RNAcentral lists this ribosomal RNA (431 nucleotides) under Protancylus adhaerens. RNAcentral's name for it is "partial large subunit ribosomal RNA". The stretch from base 1 to 186 matches the Rfam family "Archaeal large subunit ribosomal RNA", at positions 1911 to 2146 of the family's 2987-position model. The record is from RNAcentral. Lineage: Eukaryota; Metazoa; Mollusca; Gastropoda; Protancylidae.
AGUUUAAAGAAAUUAUUUUAAAUGAAUCCUGCCCAGUGUUAAUUUAUAAAUGGCCGCAGUACCCUGACUGUGCGAAGGUAGCAUAAUCAAUUGGCUUUUAAUUGAAGUCUGGAAUGAAUGGAGAUUUGGAAAAAAGCUGUCUCAAACAUAUUUAGUCGAAUUUAAUUAUUAGGUGCAAAUACCUAUUAAAAGAAAAAAGACGAGAAGACCCUUAGAAUUUUUAAAAUAUUACUUAAUUAAUUUAUUUUUGUUGGGGCGACAAUUAAACAUUUUAAACUUUAAUUUUAAUACAUAACGAAAUUGUUAUAAAAGAAUAAAUUACCUUAGGGAUAACAGCAUAAUUUUUAAUAAGUUUGUGACCUCGAUGUUGGACUAGGAACUUUAUGGCAAGCAGUCAAAAUAGAUUUGUUCUGUUCGAACAAUAUUAUCCU